RNAcentral lists this long non-coding RNA (165 nucleotides) under Papio anubis (olive baboon). RNAcentral describes it as "lncRNA (ENSPANG00000049963.1)". The record is from RNAcentral. Lineage: Eukaryota; Metazoa; Chordata; Mammalia; Primates; Cercopithecidae.
CCUUCACUGUCACUGUACUCACUGUGGCCAGAUCCCCUUCUUCCAGUUGUCCUGGACCCUGUCUGUGUGGAUUGUCCAUGAGUGCCCUUCACUGUCACUGUACUCACUGUGGCCAGAUCCCCUUCUUCCAGUUGUCCUGGACCCUGUCUGUGUGGAUUGUCCAUG